CUACGGGGCGCAGCAGUGAGGAAUAUUGCACAAUGGGGGGAACCCUGAUGCAGCAACGCCGCGUGGAGGAUGACGCAUUUCGGUGUGUAAACUCCUUUUAUAUGUCAAGUAAAUGACGGUAGCAUAUGAAUAAGCACCGGCUAACUCCGUGCCAGCAGCCGCGGUAAUACGGAGGGUGCAAGCGUUACUCGGAAUCACUGGGCGUAAAGGGCGCGUAGGCGGGUUGGAAAGUCAGGUGUGAAAUCCUACAGCUUAACUGUAGAACUGCACUUGAAACUUCUAAUCUAGAGUAUGGGAGGGGGAGAUGGAAUUAGUGGUGUAGGGGUAAAAUCCGUAGAUAUCACUAGGAAUACCCAAAGCGAAGGCGAUCUCCUGGAACAUUACUGACGCUAAGGCGUGAAAGCGUGGGGAGCAAACAGGAUUAGAUACCCCUGUAGUC
This 439-nucleotide ribosomal RNA is filed under the name uncultured bacterium. Its description in RNAcentral is "partial 16S ribosomal RNA". It matches the Rfam family "Bacterial small subunit ribosomal RNA", at positions 339 to 795 of the family's 1533-position model. The record is from RNAcentral.